UACGGAGGAUCCAAGCGUUAUCCGGAAUCAUUGGGUUUAAAGGGUCCGUAGGCGGUUUGGUAAGUCAGUGGUGAAAGCCCAUCGCUCAACGGUGGAACGGCCAUUGAUACUGCCAGACUUGAAUUAUUAGGAAGUAACUAGAAUAUGUAGUGUAGCGGUGAAAUGCUUAGAGAUUACAUGGAAUACCAAUUGCGAAGGCAGGUUACUACUAAUGGAUUGACGCCGAUGGACGAAAGCGUGGGUAGCGAACAGG
RNAcentral lists this ribosomal RNA (253 nucleotides) under uncultured bacterium. RNAcentral's name for it is "partial 16S ribosomal RNA". It matches the Rfam family "Bacterial small subunit ribosomal RNA", at positions 524 to 776 of the family's 1533-position model. The record is from RNAcentral.